Molecule: unclassified non-coding RNA, 320 nt
Filed under: Hevea brasiliensis (rubber tree)
Lineage: Eukaryota; Viridiplantae; Streptophyta; Magnoliopsida; Malpighiales; Euphorbiaceae
Source: RNAcentral
GUCAGAUCGGGGCUUCUCCCUCCUCAUGGCCACAAUCUCCUACAUCCAUAUCCACUAUAACACCAAUUCUUUUGACAUUUUUAUCCUUUAUCUCUCAUUUGAAAUUCCCAAUUGGCUCACCUUCUAGACACGUGUACGCUAGUGCUUGUUUCACUUGCGGAAUCAGUUUUAUAGAAUAUAAUGAUAUGAAAUUAUUGAAGCAGCUGAUAAAGAUUAGAGGAAGGACAUUCCCAUUAGGAGUUGGAAGAUGGAACCAAUAUUUUCUCUGUAAUUCCAUCACUUUCUUUCUCAGUUGGAGGAGAGAGAGAGAGAGAGACAGA